CGGACGGGUGAGUAUCGCGUAGGGAUUUGUCGUUGGGUGGGGGAGUAACCUUGGGAAACUGGGGCUAAUACCGCAUGACGCCUGUGGGCCAAAGCCGGGUGACCGGUGCCUGACGAGGAGCCUGCGUCCGAUUAGCUAGUUGGUUGGGUAAUGGCUGACCAAGGCUGUGAUCGGUAGCUGGUCUGAGAGGAUGAUCAGCCACACUGGGACUGAGACACGGCCCAG
This 225-nucleotide ribosomal RNA is filed under the name uncultured bacterium. RNAcentral describes it as "partial 16S ribosomal RNA". It matches the Rfam family "Bacterial small subunit ribosomal RNA", at positions 99 to 334 of the family's 1533-position model. The record is from RNAcentral.